This 6518-nucleotide long non-coding RNA is filed under the name Sus scrofa (pig). RNAcentral's name for it is "lncRNA (ENSSSCG00060005934.1)". Lineage: Eukaryota; Metazoa; Chordata; Mammalia; Artiodactyla; Suidae. The record is from RNAcentral.
ACUCCGAGGCCGGCAGGCUGGCAGGCUGGCUGGCUGGCUGGCUGGCCGGCCGGCGGGCGGGGGUGGGGCGUCCUGGAGGACUUAACUCCGGAGCGAGGCUCGUGUGAGCCCAGGCGGGUGCCAGUGUGCUUGGAGGCCCCUGCCCGCCCGGCAGCCUCCACCUGCCCAGUGACCAUGAUAGGGAAUAUCGUUUACUUUCCCUAGUCAGCGUGAAGAUGAGGGAAAUGAGAGGAUUUGUGAAACGCACCUCAGAGCUGUUUACCAAAUGCCAAUUUAAAAAGUGUUUGUCAGGUUCAACUCCAGCCAUGGUUUCCCAGUGGAGGUCGAUUCUGACACCAGCAUCUUCCAGCUCAAGGAGGUGGUUGCUAAGCGACAGGGGGUUCCAGCUGACCAGUUGCGUGUGAUUUUCGCAGGGAAGGAGCUUAGGAAUGACUUGACAGUGCAGGUGAGUCUCCCUGGGUGGAUGGUUCCUGGGUUGCAUCCAGCUCCAUUGCUUAUGCUGCUUCUGCUGCCAAGCUGACAUUCAUGCCCGAGAUGUAAUAGAAUAAAUAGUGCCUGGGGAUUCCUUGAACUUUACUCCACACCGCUUCAUUAAUUCUGACCUUCUUAAUUAUGCAUUAAAACAGCAAGCAGGAAGGGUUGGAAGAACACCUCUGAGUGUGAGAGAGAGAGAGAGAGAGAAAGCGAGCACACAAACUGGGCUCAGUGCAUAAAUGUUUACUGACUGCAGGAGCAGCAAGGCACAAUUUCUGUGUCUGUUCAAUUUCUACCUUACUUAUUCCAUUUGAAUCUUAAUGAAGAAAGAUGCAAAUAAAUUGUUCCAAAUCAGGCUGCUCGGCCACUGUGCUGUGAGGAAUCCGUAACCCAAGUGUGACCCCUGGAGGAUGGUCCUAGGUCUGCUGCUGUGGCUCACGAGGGGAGGGAAGGGCUCGGCUCAGGGCCGAUCACAAGCCUCGAGCACCCCUGCCCCAUCAGAAUCCCAGUGCCGGAGGAGACCGAUGCGCCGCAGAAGUCCACUUCCGUGUUUAAUUUCUCCAAGCUUCAAUAACAUUUUCCCUACACUGGGCCGCUGAAUCAUUACAGAGGGAGCGGUGUGUGUUUUCUCUCCUGGCUCUGCCGCUUUCAGGGCACCCCACCAUUCUGUUAAAGGCUCGGUUAUAUCCUUUUCAUCUGAGUGUUUCAUUCACAGCAGUGAUGUCUGUAGGAAAAGGGGAGAGCUGGGUAGGGGGUGGGGGAGCCAGGCCAUCACCUCCUCACCUGGAGUCCUGUCACUUGUUAUUGAAGCCAGCAAAGAGAAUUCAGUAUGGACCGAAGUCAUUCUCUGACAAGGCGUGAAAGACCAGUUGCUUUCUGUGGGCGGUUUGGGUGAUGCUGGAGAACCUGCUGAGGCAUUUCCCCCCUUUCUUAACCAGCAGAGAUUAAUUGCACUUCUGUUUGCAGCUGUGUGGGGGCCGCGGCUGUGUCUCUAGGCACAGUCCCCACUUUCUUGACGUCCUAUCACUGUCUCUUCUUGGUGCUGAUGUUUACUGCUUUGCGAAAUGCUUUGGAAUUGGCCUGUACAAAAGAAGCUAUAGAAAUGCAAAUCGCUCCCUCCUCCUGCCUCUCCAGUGAAGGCAGGAGGCACGUGCUCUCUUGCACAAACUGCUGUGCUUUGCUUUUAGGCAAUUUGUUUUUAUAAGGGAAGUGCCUAUGCUAAAAAGUGUUUUGAUUUUUUUUUUAUUUCAGUCAACUAAAAAGCUUUUUACUGUACCUGCCAACCUCUAAAUCCAAGAAUGUUUCCUUCAUAAAUUAUUUUGAAACAUCUCCUUGAACCAAAACAUUUUAUGUUACCAGAAGUUUUGAAGUUUUAGGUUCUAAAGUGUCUUACGUCUACCAUUUUUGCUGAUAGAUUAGACUAAUUGCUAUAGACAAUAAGCUUUUUUUACAGAGAUAGAUAGAUAGGUAGAUACAGAAAUAUAUAGAGAGAUAAAGAUUCUUUAUUUUGACUAACACUUCCAGUGCUCUGUGCUUCUCAGGGAAUCCCAAAGAAAGGCAAGAUGGAGAGAGAGCUGUUUCCUUAAGGCCUCUAAAAUCAGAAAUACAUGUUAGGUUAAGCCGUACACUAUAGGUUAAAACUAUCAGCAAUUUCAUGUGGCUCAACCUAAUAGCUAUAACGUGAGGAUGUCAAAAAUGUUGACUGCCAUAUGGAAACUGAAAUACAAGCAUUACAAAGUUUGAAAGGUGGAGAAAGUCACCAAGAAAGACUUCAUGGAUGAAUUGAAACUCGAGUAGGAUUCUGGACAUGGAGAACGAGCUUGGAGUGUGCUUGGGAACAAGCAUAGUUUCCUAUUCUUGCAGAACCCAGAGGAGAUGCUGUAGAUGGGGUGAGAAGGGGGCUGGGAGCUCUAUUUUAUAGUGCUUUGAUUGGUGUGGCAUUGAGGUUUCAUGCAUGGGAAGCCAGAGUAAAACUGGGUUCCCUGGAGAGAAAUGGGAACCUGGAGAGCCCUGUGAUUGUGGGCAGGAUGAGUUUUAUACGUGACAAGAGUUAACACCAGUGGGAGAUGCUGGCAGGCAGUUGAACAUAGGUGUGGCGCUCAGAGCUGGCUGAGAUAAGUAUUGUAGUUACUGAAACAGAUUUAGUUGCCCGGGGCAGAGGAGAGGCACAGCAGUUCCUUAUCUAGUAGGGCAGGAGCCGGUAAAGGGGGCGUCAUUCAUCCACAUGACAUUUCUUAAGAUAGUUUGGAAAAGGAAAGUACUGGUAAAGAGCAGUGUGUGCUGUGAAAAGAUGGAGGGGGAUGAGGAAGAAAAGAGCCUUUGCUCUUGGUGACAGUGCUGAUGACUCAGGGACCUUCAGGACACCAGGUCAAGGCUGUGGUUGGAGGAAGCCAGAGUGCAGGCAUUCAGCCUGAGUCCUGGGACUGUGUAAUGGGCAGGGCUCGGCCGGUUAGCAAGGGAUGGAGAGACAGAAGGGAGUUCUUGGAGGAACAGCAGGUCCUACGCCACGUUGUACUCUUCCUAGCCUUUGACUGUGUGCAUGGCAGACUUUGAUAUAGUUCUGAUCAGUUCUAUAGUUCUAAUCUGAAUUUCCUUUGCUUCACAUUAUAUCCCGGGCAUUUUCCGUGUUGCUGUAUAAUCUUCAUUUCUAGAUGUCUGGAUAUUACUGUCUAAUAAGAGUGUUUAUUUGUAAGCAUUUCAGGAGUAUCUGGUUUUUAGUAUUACAAAUUAAGGCGAAACAAUUUCUCUAAAUGUGUCUUCUAAACUUAGAGGAUACAGCCUCUCUGUUUCAGUUUGCUUAUUUGUAAAAUGGGAAUAAAAAUAAUACCUACCUCACUGGGGUUUGUGAGGACUGCGGUAAUUUAUGCAAAACCCUCCAAACGGAGAGUGGCAUGGAGCUAACUCUACAGAAAUGUGAGUGUUGAUCAGCACCUCACCAGCACGACUGUCUUCAUUCUUGUUAGGCGGUUACUUCAGGGCCUAAGCGAUCACCUUAGAUGGCACAGGACAACUUUCCGUCGUGAAUCAGGAUGAGUAUAUCUGCGAUAAUUUAAACAGUUAAGGCGAUGCUAGUAGGAUGCAUAUUUUAUUGGGACAGUACAAUGUAUGCGUAGGUAAUAUUUACAUAGUUAAACUAAAAAGCUCUGUGGAGUUUAUAAAUACAUUUUUGACCUUUAGACAUACAGCUUUUACUUAACCAUAGUAGAAUUUGAAUUUAGCAAGCUUAAAAAGACUUAAAAUUCCUCUAAUAUUAAGAAAAAAUAGACACCUAUGGCUGUACCAUUCAGCAAACACUCGUCAUGAUAUAAUUGCUUUUAAAAUAUAUGUUUAUAAAGUGGAUAUCUGCCACACACUGUAUUUGAAGCAAAUUGGAAAGAGUUCUUUCCUCCUACUUCAUACGCAGUGUUUCCGUGCUUAUUUUUGUUUUCCCUGCACCUAGAAGUCUUCGGCAUAUCCUUCACGGUGAAUUGAUUAUUUUUCUUUGUAAAGACUCUUGUCAACUCUUGCAAUAGAAUAUUCGAGCCCAUUCAAGUCAUGAGUCAUUCUUGCUCCUACCCUCCAGUUCUAACACACUGCGUAUCAAGAAUCCCUACCUAAUUUUUAAUUUAUUAUUCAGAUUUAUACAAGGAAAAUAAAGGUGUAAUGUAGCUGUAUAUAUCAAAAUUGUUGACUUUUUAAUUAGAAUAACUUCAAAUUACAGGGACUUGAGAAUCACAUAAGAUUUUGUUGGAGCAGAAUUCACUGUAUUCACCUGGCCUGUAUUAUUAUUAAUGUUAAUAUCCGUAUAGGUUUAUUAGUCAGUGUAUUAGGGUCUGCCAAAGAAACAGAACCAGUAUUAUUUAUAUGUAAUGAAUAGAUGGGUAGGUAGGCAGGUAGGUAGAUAGGUAGGUAGUGAUGAGAUUAGGCCCCCCAGUGAUGGAGGCUGCAGUCAUCAGGUUUAGUGUUGGUCUCAGUCUGAAGACCUGAAAACCAGAGAGGCGAUGGUAUAGUUCCAAUCUGAACGCUGGUUGGCUCAAGACCCAGAAAGAGCUGAUGUUUCCAAAGGCUACAGAAAUAAAUAGAUAAAUAAAUUAAAGUCUCGAAAAGUAAACAAAACAAAAACAAACAAAAAUCAGUGUUCCAGCCAGAUAGAUGGCUGUUGCGCAGGAGGAAUUCCCUUUGACUUGUAGGAAGAUCAGCCUUUUGGUUCAGGUCUUAAACUGACUGGUUGGGACCCACCCAUGCUGGGGAUAGCCAUGGAUUCACUCAGUCAGGAUUCCAGUGUUAAUCUCAUCUGAACAAACUGCUCACAGACACACCCAGACUAAUAUUUGGCCAAAGGUCUAGGCGGUCCAUGGCCCAGUCAAGUCGACACAUAAAAUUAACUACUGCAGCCAGGAUUUGAGAAACCUCAUUAUAUUUUAUUAAUAUUAGAGGGAAGCCUAUUCUAUUUUAUUCUCUUUGUAAUAAUGUAUUAUAUACUUAAAGGAGAAAAUAAAAUAUGACUGUUUUACAUAGCAAUUUUCUUUAUAAAAGAAUUCACCCAGAUGGAUGGUCAAAAAUUCCUUUUAAAAUAUUCAACUUUCAAAGUUCCUGUUGUGCUCAGCAGAAAUGAAUCUGAGUAGCAUCCCUGAGGAUGCAGGUUCGAUCCCUGGCCUUGCUCGGUGGGUUAAGGAUCUGGCAUUGCCGUGAGCUGUGGUGUAGGUCCCCGAUGCGGCUCAGAUCUGGCAUUUCUGUGGCUGUGGCGUAGGCUGGCAGCUACAGCUCCAAUUCAUCUCCUAGCCUGGGGACCUCUAUAUGCCGUGGGUGUGGCCCUAAAAAGACAACAUAAUAAUAAUAAUAAUAAUAAAGUAUUCAAUUUUAUGAUGUUUAAAAUGUGUAUACACAUUUCAUGAAAUAGGUCUUUUUUGCAAUAAAUAUUAAAGGAUAUCCAUUUAUUACACUUAUUUUUCUAAGCUUUAUUACAUGACAAGAUCUGAGUUUGGAGGACCAGAGACAUUAGGACUUUAAUAGCCUAGGUUGUAAAUAUUAAAGAAAAAUAAAUGACCCUAAAAAGCCAGAUUAUUUAAUUGGUUAUGUAUUUAGUGAUAUACACUAAAUAUAUUUCAAAAUUUGUGAAUAGUGAAAACCAGCUUUCAUUGACAAAGUAAACUGUGUAUAGUGACUAACAAAUUCAAGUUUUGGAAAUUCUGUAAGAAUAUUUACCUGUUGGAGUUCCCAUCAUGGCUCAGGAAAAACAAAUCUGACUAGUAUCCAUAAGAAGCUGGUAAACUGUUUUCAUUUAAGAGUUCUAUAGGAGUUCCCGUCGUGGCGCAGUGGUUAACAAAUCCGACUAGGAACCAUGAGGUUGCGGGUUCGGUCCCUGCCCUUGCUCAGUGGGUUAAUGAUCCGGCGUUGCUGUGAGCUGUGGUGUAGGUUGCAGACGCGGCUCGGAUCCCGCAUUGCUGUGGCUCUGGCGUAGGCUGGUGGCUACAGCUCCGAUUGGACCCCUAGCCUGGGAACCUCCAUAUGCCGCGGGAGCGGCCCAAGAAAUAGCAACAACAACAACAACAACAACAACAAAAAAGACAAAAGACAAAAAAAAAAAAAAAAAAAAAGAGUUCUAUAGAAAAGACUAGGCAGUUACACAUUCAACUGCAAAUUUGCUGGUUGUUUUAUUAUGUUGUGAAAUUGACAGAAUAUUAGAAUUCUUUGAUAUUCCUAUACAAUCUUAGAAUACAUGUUUACCACCAUUUAGGACCAUUAUUUAGUUACUCUUUAUAGAUGCUAUACUUUACAGUAUAAGCACUAAACAUGUAAGAGAAGUUGCUGCUGAGAAAAAGAAAAUGAACAUGAACUACUUAAUGUUUCCACUAGCAAAUGCUAAAUAAAAUCCUUGGUGUGCUGAAGAGAAGGUGGAAUGACAAUGGUGGUGUAUACACUUGUUGGAAUUUUCCCACCUGUUUUCAUUAUCUUUAUUUGUUUUUCAUAGUGGUCAUAGAUAAUGUGACCAUUAUAACUUGCCAUACAAAUUGGGAAAGAGAGAGAGAGGGAGAAAGAAAGAAAAAGAAAAGAAAAGAAAAAAA